RNAcentral lists this ribosomal RNA (435 nucleotides) under uncultured bacterium. RNAcentral describes it as "partial 16S ribosomal RNA". It matches the Rfam family "Bacterial small subunit ribosomal RNA", at positions 28 to 507 of the family's 1533-position model. The record is from RNAcentral.
GAUGAACGCUGGCGGUAUGCUUAGCACAUGCAAGUCGAACGGACUCUUCGGAGUUAGUGGCGGACGGGUGAGUAACGCGUGAGAAUCUGGCUUUGGGUUCGGGACAACCACUGGAAACGGUGGCUAAUACCGGAUGUGCCGAGAGGUAAAAGAGAAAUUGCCUGAAGAUGAGCUCGCGUCUGAUUAGCUAGUUGGUGAGGUAAAGGCUCACCAAGGCAGCGAUCAGUAGCUGGUCUGAGAGGAUGACCAGCCACACUGGGACUGAGACACGGCCCAGACUCCUACGGGAGGCAGCAGUGGGGAAUUUUCCGCAAUGGGCGAAAGCCUGACGGAGCAAUACCGCGUGAGGGAAGAAGGCUCUUGGGUUGUAAACCUCUUUUCUUAGGGAAGAACAAAAUGACGGUACCUAAGGAAUCAGCAUCGGCUAACUCCGUG